This 377-nucleotide ribosomal RNA is filed under the name uncultured bacterium. RNAcentral's name for it is "bacterial SSU rRNA". It matches the Rfam family "Bacterial small subunit ribosomal RNA", at positions 523 to 898 of the family's 1533-position model. The record is from RNAcentral.
AUACGUAGGGGGCGAGCGUUGUCCGAAGUCACUGGGCGUAAAGCGCGCGUAGGCGGUCUUUUAAGUUGGAUGUGAAAUCCUGCGGCCCAACCGCAGAACUGCAUCCAAAACUGGGAGACUUGAGGAUGGAAGAGGGCAGUGGAAUUCCUGGUGUAGCGGUGAAAUGCGUAGAUAUCAGGAGGAACACCCGUGGCGAAGGCGGCUGCCUGGUCCAUAUCUGACGCUGAGGUGCGAAAGCCAGGGGAGCGAACGGGAUUAGAUACCCCGGUGGUCCUGGCCGUAAACGAUGGAUACUAGGUGUAAGUGGUAUCGACCCCACUUGUGCCGUAGCUAACGCAUUAAGUAUCCCGCCUGGGGAGUACGGCCGCAAGGUUGAA